GAUGAACGCUGGCGGCGUGCUUAACACAUGCAAGUCGAACGGAAAGGCCUCUGCUUGCAGGGGUACUCGAGUGGCGAACGGGUGAGUAACACGUGGGUGAUCUGCCCUGCACUUCGGGAUAAGCCUGGGAAACUGGGUCUAAUACCGGAUAGGACAAUGGUUUGGAUGCUGUUGUGGAAAGUUUUUCGGUGUGGGAUGAGCUCGCGGCCUAUCAGCUUGUUGGUGGGGUAAUGGCCUACCAAGGCGUCGACGGGUAGCCGGCCUGAGAGGGUGUACGGCCACAUUGGGACUGAGAUACGGGCCAGACUCCUACGGGAGGCAGCAGUGGGGAAUAUUGCACAAUGGGCGCAAGCCUGAGGCAGCGACGCCGCGUGGGGGAUGACGGCCUUCGGGUUGUAAACUCCUUUCGCUAGGGACGAAGCGUUUUUGUGACGGUACCUGGAGAAGAAGCACCGGCUAACUACGUG
This 467-nucleotide ribosomal RNA is filed under the name uncultured bacterium. RNAcentral's name for it is "partial 16S ribosomal RNA". It matches the Rfam family "Bacterial small subunit ribosomal RNA", at positions 28 to 507 of the family's 1533-position model. The record is from RNAcentral.